CUCUUAUCAUGUUUUCAUUUCUAAGCUGCUUGCUGGACACAUUGCUUGUAAUCACGGUUGACUCAACUGGCAAAAUUUAUCUGGCAAGCACCAAUCAAUAAAUGUGAUACUGCCCUAAGGGCACUGAGCUAAUGCUUCUAAAAGGUUUUCUUCUUAUCUGCCAACUCUGCUUCUCUCCACAACUUUGUUUUGAGGGGUGAGCACCUGCUAGCAGAGCCAUUCAACUCUUCAUUCCUUUCCACAGAAAUCUGAUCAUGAAAGCCUGGCAGCGGGGAUAUGCUCCAGUUCCUGUCGCGUUGUGGCCAAGCAGGAUGGUGGCAGCGGGUGGCAUGGUUCGGGCCUGCUGUCUGGAGAGGUGCUGGUGGCUGGUCCCUCGGCUAUGGUCCGUCCCUUGAGGUUGAUGACUUAUGGUGCAUGCUGAGAGGCCAGGGCCAUGACUACUUCCACAGGGACAGACUUGGCGCUAGCCCUUCAUGAGGUUGGACCUCUCUGCCAGCAGGGCUGGCGCUGGGCCAGCGCGCUGGUUUUGAACAAGGGAUGAGGGUGAAGCCAUCCGUUUUGCCAUGCCUGUCCCCUCCCUUCAAACCCAAGCCACCAAACUGGCUGGCAGAGGAGGCAGGAAACUGAAGUCAAAUCAAAACCAGGCUGAAAGCCCUCAAAAACUGUUGUGUUCACGCAGGUGAGUUGCGGUUGUGAAAUGAGCUCACAGGAAGCAAUUAUGCUCCUGUCCUGUGAUGUGCUUUGGGAGGGUUAUUUGCAUGGUCUCACGCUGUUCGCAGUGGAUGUGGGGGUGGUAAUUUGCCUUCUGCAGCCUCUGUCGUCUCUCUGAGACCUGGCCAGGCUCUAAGUUGCAUCCAGGCCUGGGCUGGAUCAUGGCCCCCUCCGAGCACAUGGGCAGCUCUGUCCCUUGUGUGUUGGCACAGGGAGGCGAUCACAGGAGAGUGAACAUCCAUUGCGACUCAGUCUGCUUAAGCCUAAAUUCUGCCCAGUGAGGAUGGUGAAAAGAUAUCUUGAAAUCCAUUUUAACAUCAAUUUAAUUUCAGGCCUGCUGUUAUGAAAGAAAUGGUUUAAUGUUACAUCUGGGGAAAAAAAAGAAGCAGUUUCAGGUUACUUGACUGUGGGUAAAUUUUGUUUUGUUUUAUUUAAGGACAGUGUCAAAAUUUCUUUUGUUGAAAUGUUUCUCAUGUGUAAGCUUUUGUAAUGCAGAACUAGUGUGCUGUAUCAUGGGAGUCAUGAAAAACAGGGCUCGGAGGCAUCUCUAAAGAAUUCGUGUCCAAACCCUGCUCCAGGUAGGAUCACCUCUACCUAAACCAUUCAUGCUUAUUGUCUAACCCAUUUCCUAACAUCUCUGGUGAUCUUCCCACACAGGGUGUUC
This 1375-nucleotide long non-coding RNA is filed under the name Anser brachyrhynchus (Pink-footed goose). Its description in RNAcentral is "lncRNA (ENSABRG00000008688.1)". Lineage: Eukaryota; Metazoa; Chordata; Aves; Anseriformes; Anatidae. The record is from RNAcentral.